WUAUCACGAGAAGGAGCCUUUCCCACGGGGAGAGCCCUUUCCAUCCUGGACCUCAGCCCCCCCCCCCCCCCCCCCCCCCCCCCCCCCCCCCCCCCCCCCCCCCCCCCCCC
RNAcentral lists this unclassified non-coding RNA (110 nucleotides) under Cortispongilla barroisi. RNAcentral describes it as "sequence contains ITS2, 28S rRNA gene". The record is from RNAcentral. Lineage: Eukaryota; Metazoa; Porifera; Demospongiae; Spongillida; Malawispongiidae.